This 1460-nucleotide long non-coding RNA is filed under the name Physcomitrium patens. RNAcentral's name for it is "long non-coding RNA (PPAT_LNC013323)". The record is from RNAcentral. Lineage: Eukaryota; Viridiplantae; Streptophyta; Bryopsida; Funariales; Funariaceae.
UCCUGCGGGUAUCCUCAAGAGACUGCAAUUGGUGGUAGAAGACCUAUCUGUGGUAUGUAAUUCAUGUGGUUGAUACUUAAUUUCUAAGUAGGUUAUAAUGAGGUCUUUCUAAACUUGUUUGUAUUUUGCACCUUCAGAUCUUUCUCUUUGAGUUGUAGUUGAUUGUUGUUGAAGUUCAAAUGCUUGGCAAUGUUGCCUUUGGCACUGUGCGCUUGUAGCUGUUAAGUUUUCUUCCUUGCAAGAAGCUAUGAGGAGUCCAGGGCAGCAGCACAUGACAUUCUUCAAGAGGCAGGAGAGGAGUUGAUGAAGGACGAUGCACUAGGGUUUGAUAACUCCCAGUUUUGAAACUUUGUUUCUUGAGGUGAGUAAUGAGUCUCAGGAAGGAUUCAAAAAUAUUAAGCGAUACAUAGGGGUUUUAAUUGUGGUAUAUGCUCAAGUUGGCAAGAGUGUCAGCAACAUGUUAAAGGUUAUAAGGGUUGCAUGUUUAGAAGUUUUAGAACCAGAUAGGAGGCAGAUGAUUUUGUGAAGAGUUAGGGUUGUAUGGUAGUGAUGUACCCUCUCUAAAGCUAUCUCAAUUUGUGAGGCUGAGUUGGAUAUUAGUUUGUCAAUACUCUGUCUUUGUUUGUGAUGAGACGGGUAUCCUGCGUAAUCCAGUUUCUUCUUGGUUUUUCAUAAAACAUUGAGGCCCCAAAGGAUUGUAAAUAUUUCCGCAUGUUGCUCCAAGGUUGGUACACAGCUGACCUCUAUAUUGUUGUCUUGAUGUUUUUCUCAAAUAAAGUGAUGAUGAAGAUCAUCACUAAUGAGAAGAAAACAUGAGACAACAAAAUUUCUAAAUCCUUUGAUUGUGUUAGAUUGAGAAGCCUCUCUGAGUCGGUUUUAUAUUUAACAAGUUUAGGUCUACUAGUCCUAAAAAUAAAAAUAAAAUUGAGGUAAAAUGUUUUUUUUUCUACAUGACAUAUACAGUGUUAUUUCAUAGAAUUUGCAAUAAAUCCACCUCAAGAAAUGGUUUGUAUAAAAAUGUCAAAAGUUUUGUUUGAAAUUGCUAAAUAAAAAUAAAAAUAAAAAUAAAAAAACACACAGACACAUUAAAAUAAGAAUAAUUUAUUUUGUUACAUUUGUUAUAAUUAUUAGAUUUAAGAUAUGAUUUGGCACACUUUAUUUAUAUUUUUUUAAAUUAUUUGUGCCACUUUCUAGCCUUACUUUACUUUACAUUAUUUUCAAAAGCCAAAAUUUUCAAAGAAGAGAUUUUAUUAAUCAUGCAAGGGACCUCUGUAAAGCUUUUUAUAUCAUGCCCUUUCAAAGUUCAAGGCAUGAUAUAAAACUCAAAGACAAGUCUUAUGAUGUUUCCCUACAUAGAUUGAAACACAUAACAUUGUGCAUAUUUUGAUGUUAAAGAUGGAACACAAUAUUGCAAGACAGGACAAUCAAAAACACAAAAUGUACACCCAACAGGAAAUCAC